CACCUCUCGGCCAGGGUGAAGCCAAUGGAGUAGGCGGGGCAUUUUGCGUGCUACAUUCUAAGAAGUAUUGGUUGUGAUGUGAUGGGAAGAACACAGCCAAAGUGAAGUCUGAAAGAUGUGAAGAAAUGCAAUACAUUUGCACAUUGGCACAUUGCCCUGCAGAGGACUGGCAACACCAGAAAUGAUGGAGACAGGAUACAUCAACCUGUAUCACUGAAGACGAUGUGGAGCAGAGCCUUUGUGGUCCUAAGAAACAUGUAUAAGAUAAAAACUUUUGUGGUUUUUCAAUCAUUUGAGGUUUUAGCAUUGUUCAUUGUAUUAACACAACUUGCCUAUUCUGACUGCUAAGGUUGUUCAGUGGGUUAUUCAUAAAGGCAAAAUGAGGUUGUGAGCCACAGAAAGAGAGGACAGGAUGGUUCCAUGGUGUCCCCAGCUUAUUUUUU
This 443-nucleotide long non-coding RNA is filed under the name Pan troglodytes (chimpanzee). RNAcentral describes it as "long non-coding RNA NONPTRT016780". Lineage: Eukaryota; Metazoa; Chordata; Mammalia; Primates; Hominidae. The record is from RNAcentral.